This 158-nucleotide ribosomal RNA is filed under the name Arctium lappa (great burdock). RNAcentral's name for it is "5.8S ribosomal RNA". It matches the Rfam family "5.8S ribosomal RNA". From Rfam's summary of the family: 5.8S ribosomal RNA (5.8S rRNA) is a component of the large subunit of the eukaryotic ribosome. It is transcribed by RNA polymerase I as part of the 45S precursor that also contains 18S and 28S rRNA. Lineage: Eukaryota; Viridiplantae; Streptophyta; Magnoliopsida; Asterales; Asteraceae. The record is from RNAcentral. RNAcentral also lists the same sequence under 2 other names.
ACGACUCUCGGCAACGGAUAUCUCGGCUCACGCAUCGAUGAAGAACGUAGCAAAAUGCGAUACUUGGUGUGAAUUGCAGAAUCCCGUGAACCAUCGAGUUUUUGAACGCAAGUUGCGCCCGAAGCCAUUCGGCCGAGGGCACGUCUGCCUGGGCGUCA